AUGUUACAGAUCUAUAAUCUAAUUGGGUUGCAGACUAUUACACAUUCUGAAACGGUUACUUCCAAUUGCUGUUUAUCUUCUUCAGAAAGAAGGGGAAUACCUGAGUGGCCAUGAUGUAUUUCUGAGGCGUGUAGCAGAUGCUUUCAACAAUUUUGCAGAAUCCACCGAAAAAUCAUGCCGUGAAAAGUAAAUGCUUUUCUGCAUCUAUAC
Long non-coding RNA from Nicotiana attenuata, 210 nucleotides. RefSeq lists it as uncharacterized. The transcript has 3 exons. The record is from RefSeq and is a predicted model, not a curated record. NCBI's taxonomy places the organism in Eukaryota, Viridiplantae, Streptophyta, Magnoliopsida, Solanales, Solanaceae.